This 373-nucleotide unclassified non-coding RNA is filed under the name soil metagenome. RNAcentral describes it as "partial contains 5.8S ribosomal RNA, internal transcribed spacer 2, and large subunit ribosomal RNA". The stretch from base 1 to 121 matches the Rfam family "5.8S ribosomal RNA", at positions 35 to 154 of the family's 154-position model. The record is from RNAcentral.
GAUGAAGAACGUAGCGAAAUGCGAUAAGUAAUGCGAAUUGCAGAAUUCCAGUGAGUCAUCGAAUCUUUGAACGCACAUUGCGCCCUUUGGUAUUCCGAAGGGCAUGCCUGUUCGAGCGUCAUUAUCACCCCUCAAGCCCUCGGCUUGGUGUUGGACGGUUUGGUGGAGGCCCCCUCGGGGGUUCCUGCCCCUCCCAAAGACAAUGACGGCGGCCUCGUUGGACCCCCGGUACACUGAGUUCUUCACGGGACACGUAUCGGACACAUGGGUUUACGGGACACGGUCUGCCUCCCCUCAGGGAGAAUCUUUCUAAGGUUGACCUCGGAUCAGGUAGGGAUACCCGCUGAACUUAAGCAUAUCAAUAAGCGGAGGA